AAGAAAAAACAGGAAAACGACUGUGAGGGUAGCUAGUCAGCUAACUUGCCAGUCAAGUCUGGGCGAAACCACCUGGGCGCAAAAAAACAGAAGACCACUGUGUUCUCGGAGCGUAGAAUGGCUCAGUUAGUGGGGUGAUCUAGCAUAUAACUCAUUCAAGUGUGGAAGGGAGUAGAGCUAGAUGACAGCUGGGAAGCUAGCUGACGUUUGAGAAAAAGCUAGCUAGCCAGGUAGGCAGCUAGACAGACUACCUUCCUAAAAGUCAGGUAGAGAAAGUGACAACUUCGUUCAGUUCACAACGACGCCUGUACAAUCGCCAAUAUGACACGGGGCAACGGCAGCCAAGAAACAGCAGACAGGACUCUCAGUCGACAAAAUGAAGUGAACAGGAAGUUAAAGUACACUAGUCUGGCGAUCCUGGUGGUCCAGAAUGCCUCGCUCAUCCUCAGCAUCCGCUAUGUACGUACGCUGCCUGGUGACCGCUUCUUCACCACCUCUGCCGUGGUAAUGGCAGAGGUUCUUAAGGUGCUCACCUGCCUGCUUAUCAUCCUGGUACAGAAGAGAGUGAACAUCAGGGACUUUGUCCUGUCCCUGUAUGAUUCCAUCGUGGUGCAAUACAAAGACACCCUGAAGCUGGCCGUGCCCUCGCUAAUCUACACCCUGCAGAACAACCUGCAGUAUGUGGCCAUCUCCAACCUGCCCGCAGCCACCUUCCAGGUGACGUACCAGCUGAAGAUCCUGACCACAGCUCUGUUCUCGGUGCUGAUGCUGAGAAAGAGUCUGUCCAGGGUCCAGUGGAUCUCCCUGCUGCUGCUGUUUGCUGGUGUAGCCAUCGUACAGGUGGAGCAGGAGGGUAAGGUUAAGGAGACCAGCGUGAAGGGAGGAGCCAGCCAGAACUACGCUAAAGGCCUUGUGGCAGUGGUGGUGUCCUGCCUGUCCUCGGGCUUCGCAGGGGUCUACUUUGAGAAGAUCCUGAAGGGCAGCUCGGCGUCCGUCUGGAUCCGCAACGUCCAACUGGGCAUCUUUGGCACCCUGAUGGGGUUGCUGGGGCUCUGGUGGAACGAUGGGGAGGCCAUGGCGGAAACCGAGCGCGGCUUCCUGCACGGGUACACCCCCAUGGUGUGGGGCGUGAUCUUCAACCAGGCGUUCGGAGGCCUCCUGGUGGCCGUGGUGGUGAAGUACGCCGACAACAUCCUGAAAGGCUUCGCCACGUCCUUCUCCAUCAUCGUCUCCACCGUGACCUCCGUCUACCUCUUCGGAUUCCACGUGGACCUCCUGUUCACCGUGGGGGCGGGGCUAGUGAUAGGAGCCGUCUAUAUGUACAGUCUGCCCAAGCCUGCAGGCCCCACCCCUUCCACUGCUGGCCCCUCCCUUUCUUCCUCCAGCCCACCGCGGGGCGAGCUGGGCGACGGUGUUGGGGACUCGGAGCUGGACGCUUUCCUCCCAAAGUCAUCACUCAGUGUCCUGGGCCUGGUUUGAAAACUCUGCCCUCCCUCCCUGAAGACGAUCAUCUCUAAUUUAACAUGAGUGGUGACCAGGGGUCUUCUGCAGAACUAGCCCCUAGCCAGUCAUGUCACACCAGUGGAAAGCGAGAAGAAUGAGUUUUGAAACUUGGCCCACUUAUGUGGGGUGGGGAAGUCUUGAUUUGGUCAUAAUGAUUUUUCUCGUUGCUACGUUGUGGCUUUAUUGCCAUUUCUAUUGAAGGUUGUUUCUAUAUAUUUAAGGUGAUAUCCCAAUGUAAUAUGGAAGGUAGAGGUAUUUUGUAUUUGCCAAAAAAUACUUUUUUUUUUGUUAAAGAUGUCAAGAUGGGCCAUCUUUCGGCGGGGGGAAGUUUUCAUGUUAAUGUGUUUACGUUACGAUGAUGGUGAGGAGGUGGGGUAUGACUGGGAGCAAAGCUGCUUCGUACUCCUGACAGGAAGCCCAUGGCUGCGUAUGAGCAUGCCAUUCAUCCACAUUCAUUCACAUAGAUCAUUUAUACAUUCUCGACGACUAACUAUCAAGAGACAUUGUUAACCAUCCACCAACUCUCAACACAGCCAUAUCAACAGAAUUACAGUUGCUAGGCUAGUUUUACAGUUGGAACACUUGUGAAUCAUUGAUGGUGGCCUACUGAAAAGUAUUGCCUCCAUACAUGAGUCACAGACCACAUGUAAGCAUGUCCAGAACACUUAUGUCUGAGUAGCAUAGCCCAACCUGUGCCGUACAAGAGGAGUCCUCCAUGGGCUUUGUACUGUCAGUGGGCCUGUGCAGAACUGUCUUUGAUGCUGGUAAGACCUGAGUCCAAAUACCAUUUAGAAUCAGUUCAGUGACUUAUCUGUGCAUGACUGCUCUCAUCUGGCACAAUGGAACAUAGCCAGUUCGCCCCUGGAAAUGUGAAUAUUCGUAUUUGGAGCCAGGUUUAGUGCAAAUACAAAGCUCAACUGGCCUUCAUCUUGUGUCUUACAUCCACCUCCAUAUUGUUCAUCUCUUCAACAUCUCUGUGGGUGGGUUGAGAAAAUGAAACGAUGGAAAAAUUUCAUGAAGAAAAAGGAAGGCAAUAGUUGUCAUUUUUACUUAAUUUUUACUUAUUGAGUUUUGCACUUCAUUUGUACGAAUGCCUGUCUGUAUUUGUACUUCUUCAAGUAAAACUUUUAUAAAACGGGACAUGGUUUAAACCCCGCUUCCAAUGUUGUCUUACUUUACAUGGUUAUAUUGCAAAAGAUCUUCUAGGGUGAAUAUGGUUAAAUACUCAAAUAGAUGUUUCUACUCUUCAGGUCUUCAAUCAUACUUGGUUGAAAACAAGCUAUUCCACAUUGUUGUUGUCUAGCCUGUCAUAUUAUUUGAGAUCUUAAACACACCCUGUAGGAAGGAUUGGCUGACUCUCGACAGAUUCUUUGUCAUGUCCUAGAAUGACUACCUGUUGAACCUGUAGAACCUGAGAUCCUGCCAUUCUGCAUGCCACACUGGGAGAAAUCAAAAGAGAGAGGCAGAAGACCUCAGGAAAGGAGAAAGGAUGCUGAGCACAAUGACUCCUACUCCAUGACUGGCCCUCACUCCAUGACUGGCCCUCACUCCAUGACUGGCCCUCACUCCAUGACUGGCCCUCACUCCACACCUGCCCACCAUGCCAAAAGAGAACCUAACUUCCGGAAUGACAAGUGCCUUUAGAAGCAUGAAGAUUCCAAAGCACAGUGAUCUAGAACACCAGCUCAACUGACAGCUGGGUACACAGGAUUUUAAGUGGCACUUAAAUGGUGCUUAGUUUACAUGUAACUGGUCCUAAACUGAAACACGCAUUGUUUUCACAUUGUUGCCUUUAACUUGAUAUAUCUUGGUCUGAAAUUAACUGCCUUUUUCUACGUUUAACUUUUGCAUUAUCUGCUGUUGGGUUUAAUCCCAAUGGUUUUAUUAAUCCUAUUUUAUCCGUUUUGAUCCUUUUUUCUAUAAGAAUGUUUUGUGACCCUGCUGGAAAUGUGUUAGUCUCUGGUCCCCUCUCCUGGCUGAAGUCCUAACUGUAAGCCUAGCUUGUUGCCCCACAUGGAGUGCUAUACGAGAAAGCAGUGCACUGCAUCCAGGACUACGACAGGCUGGCAGAAGUCAGUCACUAGGAUCAUUUUUCUUAAUGUCAUGUUUUUAGACGUCAACUAUUUCAUUGUCAUUGUCUGAAGGUUGUAUGACACUAUCAGGAACAGAGUUAUCAUUGUCUGAUUGAAAUGUGAAUGUGGAAUAUAUGUCCAUCCAUAUCAUCAUCACUUUUGACAAUAAGCAUAUAUUUAUCAAUAGGAAUAUAGAUUUAUAAUAAAGCUAAU
Molecule: RNA transcript, 3788 nt
Organism: Hypomesus transpacificus
Lineage: Eukaryota; Metazoa; Chordata; Actinopteri; Osmeriformes; Osmeridae
Gene: slc35a2
Gene name: solute carrier family 35 member 2
Exons: 7
Source: RefSeq, a predicted model, not a curated record